UACAGAGGGUGCAAGCGUUGCUCGGAAUCAUUGGGCGUAAAGGGUAGGUAGGUGGUCUCAUUUGUCUGGGGUGAAAGCCCAGGGCUUAACCCUGGAAGUGCCCCGGAAACGGUGAGACUGGAGUACUGGAGAGGGUCGUGGAAUUCCCGGUGUAGCGGUGAAAUGCGUAGAGAUCGGGAGGAACACCAGCGGCGAAGGCGGCGACCUGGACAGUUACUGACACUCAACUACGAAAGCGUGGGGAGCAAACAGG
Molecule: ribosomal RNA, 253 nt
Filed under: uncultured bacterium
Lineage: Bacteria
Description: partial 16S ribosomal RNA
Rfam family: Bacterial small subunit ribosomal RNA
Source: RNAcentral